This 127-nucleotide microRNA precursor is filed under the name Myotis davidii. RNAcentral describes it as "mir-9193 microRNA precursor family". It matches the Rfam family "mir-9193 microRNA precursor family". Lineage: Eukaryota; Metazoa; Chordata; Mammalia; Chiroptera; Vespertilionidae. The record is from Rfam by way of RNAcentral.
CAUGCAACAGUGGGGUCCCUCAGCCUGGCCUGUUACCUCUCGCAAUCUGGAGCCCCUUGGGGGAUGUCAGAGAGCUGGUUUUGGCCAGAUCCCCACAGGCCAGGCUGAGGGACUCCACCAGUGCACA